AUACAUAUAUUUUGUGUGUCACCUAAAAAUACGUAAGUAAUUUAUUAAUAUUAUCAAAUAUCCUAUCCUAAUUCUUAUUUCCCCAUUUUCUUCAAGAAUAUCUUUUUUUUACAGUUGGUUUAUUUAAACCAGGAUCCAGUUAAGGUCCAUAUGAUGCAUUUGUGUCUUUUGUCCCUUAAGUCUCUUUCAUUGAGAGCAGUUCUCUCCCCACUUAAUUUUCAUGACAUUCAUGAUGAAAAACCUGGGUCAGUCAUCCUAUAGAAUGUCCCGUAUUUGUCUGUUAGCUUUCUACAGGUGGCCUUGACAUUGUCCCCCUAGUCCUGUGUUUCUUGUAAACUGAAAGUUAAACCUAAAGGCUUGAUCAGAUUCGGGUUGUACAUUUGAGGCUAAAACAGUUCAGAGGUGACGCCAUGUACUCAUACUGAGUCACAUUAGGAGGCAAGAUGUCAGGUGGUCUCCCUCUGUCUGUGAUGCUGUUUGGUCUGUGCGUUCAGGUAGUGGCAGCCUGCUGACUCAUUAUGAAGCCAGUAGCCUGGGGAGGGGCAGGCGGGUGUCAAGGAGUUCAUUCCAAAAGCCUGCCUCAGGCUGUUGAACAGCAUCUUGGCUCUGAACUGAACCUCUUCCCUGUCUUUCUCCCACCCCCACCCCCACCCUCACCCUGCAGGACAGGUCGUGGGCCUCUACUCCCGCUUUGAUGUGAUUCACCUGGCUGCCCAACAAACCUACAACCACCUAGACGUAAGUGUGGGAGAAGCACUGAAGCAGAGGACAUUGUGUCUGGAAGGGGUCCUUUCCUGCCAGCCCCAUGAGAGCUUGGGGGAAGUCAUCGACCGGAUUGCCCGGGAGCAGGUACACCGGCUGGUGCUAGUGGAUGACAGCCAGCAUCUCCUGGGUGUGGUAUCCCUCUCUGACAUCCUGCAGGCUCUGGUGCUCAGUCCUGCUGGCAUCGAUGCCCUCAGCGCCUGAGAAUAUCUGAGUCCUCACUCCCAGACCACCUUCCACCUGUGGAAGUCAAUGAAGGGAGCCGGGGAACUCAGUCUUCAUCUUCUCCCACCCCCAUUGGCUGGUUUGGCUCUAGUUCAGGCUUCUCCAGCCCUCACUAAUUGUCCUUGCCUUGUCUGUGCUCCCGGAAGCCCUCGGGAAUGCCCAGGGUAUCAUGGGAUGGUGAAAUUAAGGGGAACAGCUGCAUCAAGCCUGGAGAUCUCCGAACCAGAGGCACUGGGAUUACCCUGGCACCUGGGUCGUGACAGGCCCCACUGGGGCAAUGAGCCUGUGGGUUCCGUCAGGGGCUCUGGAUUCCUUGGCUUCUGGACCACCUACUGUUCAGGGCCCCAGCUCCUGGGAGUCCCAGCUGGUCUUGCCCCACGGGAACUGUCUUAGUGGUUUCCCACAACUCUGCUCCCGCCCUCCUGCUUGCCCAGGAUUGUCGUUCCUGGGCUGCUGGGGGUCAUCGUGGAGCAGCAGUUAUUUGCAGAGCUGCUUGUUGGAAUGAGGUCCUCCCUCCAUUUUUGUCCUUAGCUCUCACCAGUGAACAGCGUUCUCAGUCCCCAACGAUGGCUCUGUAUUUGGAUCACUGAAGAUGAAUGAUUGAGAAAAGAAAAAGAAAAAGAAUAACCCAUGAACUUACAUUUUAUAAGUUUCACUCAGAAAAAUGCUAGUCAUUUGACCUGAACUGUGGCCAAGACCCCCGUGCUUUCUGAAUUCAAAGACAAGAAAGCAGACCUGUAAUUGACGAACGUUGCAAGGGACCUUUCUUUUGCAUGCAGAGAGUUAAUCCACCGAAAUUUCUUUUUCAUCUUUUAUUUGUAACAAAAUCAUAAAGAAAAUAUUAAUUAGGUAUUUACACAGUAGGUACAACUCAGUCCACAAACUCUAAUCUGCAAGAAACAUAACUUUAUUUUUCUAACAUUGAGCAUAGUUUCUGUUAGGAACCCCACUUCACCAGGUGGUAGAAACUAGUCUCAGUCAAUCAAGCUUUAAAUAGUAUAACUUUGUUCCUUAGUCAUCCUCACCCAUCCAUGCCAACACCUGUUAAAACAUCGCAUUCCCAUCUGUUCGUCAUUUGGUGGGUCAUUAGUGGGCACGGCACCUGCUCCGUGCUUCCUCACUACCUACCAUGAGCCUCUUUGAGCCUGCUUGCUCCCAGGCACGAGGAUAUCCUAGCUCCUGGCCCUGUACCCACUCUGGGCUUUAGGAAGCCAAGUCCCAAGUCCGCCUGCUGACAGGGACAGCAAGUGGUCUGUUCUACUCUGCAUUUUGCUGUUUUCCCAGCCUCUACCCAAACAACAGGGCACCCAGGCUCUUCUAACCUUAUCACCUCCAAACUUCUGUGGAGGAUUUGUCAUUCUCCCCGCUCCCUUCAGCCAUAGCCCCCAUCUCAGGGACCCCAGAAAUGUCUCCCCUACCCCCACCAGCCUGUGGGAUCUCUACCCAGUGGUGAAAAAGAGGGCCUUUUCCUCUAACCCAUCAGCCACUGUAUGUGUCCUGAGCUCUUGCCACCGACCUUGAGGGUCAGGCCUUUGAAAUUUCAAAGUGAAUACUGGGCUUCUGUUGUGUCGCCCGUCCCCUGUGGCAAUGGACACUACAAGUCUGCUGACCAGUGGGCAGAGAGUAGGUUAGUAUUUCUAAAAUAUUAUCCCACCCCAUUUACCUGACACAGCAACAGAGGGGACACAUCUGUGUUCAGACAGCAAAUGAAGGCAUUUUCUCACAGACACUCAGCGUCUUUCCGAUUUUGCCAUAACCCAUGGGCCAGUGCUGGCUCUCUGCUGUUCCUACCUGGCAAGGUCCCAAGUCUUGAGCUCAAGUGGAGGAUGGAGUGGGGGUACUCUCUGGGCACGUCUCCAGUGACAGUAUCCUUGGGGGGCCCGGGGCAGGCUGCCCCCAGCUGUGAGUGGCUCCAGGGAACAUGCAGCGGGAUCCGUUUUCUGAGGCAGAGCCUGGGUUAUACUGCAUUUGCAGAACUUCAGAGGUCAUAACUCGGUCUUUAGGAGGAAAGGGCAGACUUGGUGAGGCACCUUUGAGAGUUAAUCGGUCUCUACCCUCCUGCGGCUGCUAUUCUUAGGACCCAGCAGUUUCCCCCCUUAGGCCCUUCUGUAAGGAACCAUGUCACCUCCCUGCCUCAGACCUCCACCUCUGAUCACAGCUCCACACCCAGCUCCUGACCAGCCCUCUCACAUCAUGGCUGCUACAAGAAAGGCAAAGGUUUCCAUGGGAACUGCAGCUCUUGUGCCUGGCUUGGAAUAAAAGUGAGACCUCUAUCGCCUCUGUUCAUACAUGAACCUGGGGCCGCCCGAGUUUUCCAGGAGCCAUUGCCUUCCUGUCCCAAACUCUUCCCCUAACCUCAGAGGCCCCUGUGAGAUUCUGUAGCCUGCCAGCCAGACUCCCAUAGACUCCCCUCUUUACCCUGUCUCCCCGCUCACACCGUCUCACUGGUUCUCAACCUUGGAUGUGUGACAGGAUCACCUGGGAAGCUUUAUAAAAUGCAUAUUCCAGGGUCCCAUUCCUAGAGAUACUAAUCCUGAUGGGGGGGUGGGACUUAGGCCACUGUUCAUUCGCUGUAGAAACUAGAGGCUUAUGAUUAAUAACAUGUAAUGAGCAUGAUGGUGUGCUGCUGAGAAAUAAAGAUGCUUCAUUUUCAUAAUUAGUAAAAUCAUUUUAUUGAGUCUAUCUUAUUUAUUAUGAUAAUUUACAAGAAGUGCUGGCUGAGUAGUGGCAUCAUAAAGAAGAUAAACUAUUUGUUAGCAUCCUCACUGCCCUUCUUCUAAACAUCCUUACAUGCAGAAUUCAGUAGUCUCAUGUAUGCCCAUUCCAUCAUGACAAGUGUCUUCAUGUGGUUACCAUGCAUAUUAAAACUGGAAUCAUAAAUAAUAACCUGGAAACAAACUCAUAUUACCAAGACAAAAUACACUCAGAGCUAAAACUUCUAUAGAACAUGAGCAUGUCAGAAAGCAUUGGACACUCUUAUUUUAUUCCUGGUAGUGCUGCAUAGUUGUUCAAAAAGAUGAGGUAUUUUCUUCAAGUCUUACUCAAAAAUAUGGAUCCUGAUUUGGCCAAUGAAUUCAAAUUAGGUGCAAUAGGUAGUGAGAUGUGCACAUUCUUUUCAGUUAAAUGUUUUAAUAUCUACUGUCUUGCCAGUGGGUUUCAGC
Non-coding RNA from Manis javanica (Malayan pangolin), 4148 nucleotides. NCBI's taxonomy places the organism in Eukaryota, Metazoa, Chordata, Mammalia, Pholidota, Manidae. The record is from RefSeq and is a predicted model, not a curated record.